AUCGAACGCUGGCGGCUGGCCUAACACAUGCAAGUCGAACGAGUGGCGGACGGGCGAGCAAUGUCUGGGAAACUGCCUGAUGGAGGGGGAUAACUACUGGAAACGGUAGCUAAUACUGCAUACCAUCAGAUGUGCCCAGAUGGGAUUGGCUAGUUGGUGGGGUAACGGCUCACCAAGGCGACGAUCCUCAGCUGGUCUGAGAGGCUGACCGGCCACACUGGAACUGGGACACGGACCAGACUCCUACGGGAGGCAGCAGUGGGGAAUAUUGCGCAAUGGGCGCAAGCCUGAUGCAGCCAUGCCGCGUGUAUGAAGAAGGCCUUCGGGUUGUAAAGUACUUUCAGCGGGGAGGCGUUACCCGCAGAAGAAGCACCGGCUAACUCCGUGCCAGCCGCCGCGGUAAUAC
This 406-nucleotide ribosomal RNA is filed under the name uncultured bacterium. Its description in RNAcentral is "partial 16S ribosomal RNA". It matches the Rfam family "Bacterial small subunit ribosomal RNA", at positions 30 to 526 of the family's 1533-position model. The record is from RNAcentral.